Long non-coding RNA from Acipenser ruthenus (sterlet), 2151 nucleotides. RefSeq lists it as uncharacterized. NCBI's taxonomy places the organism in Eukaryota, Metazoa, Chordata, Actinopteri, Acipenseriformes, Acipenseridae. The transcript has 3 exons. The record is from RefSeq and is a predicted model, not a curated record.
AUGGGGUACUCCAUUGGACAAAUUAAGAGCCCUAUAAAGACAAGCUGUUGGAAGGCAGAGGAGAGAGAACCAGCACAGAAGGGAGAGAACCAGCGCAGAAGGGAGAGAACCAGCGCAGAGAAACCAAACAGGCGCUGCGGAGAGUUUGGAGUGGACGGCCGUGAACCAGCCAACCUACCAGACUGUCAGAGAGAGAAAGACGGGGAUCAAGAGAUGGAGGAAAGGAAGGGAAAAGCUGGCCAGAGGCCAGGAGCGAGCAGCGUGGGGGAGCUGAUGCUGCUGCAAGAGAGAGAGCGAGAAGGAGAGUAGCCAGUGUGGUGGAGCGAACUGCAAUGAUUAAAAAGGGAAAGUAUAUGGGAUUAAUUUGCACAGUACCUGUGGUGAAUGACUGCUUAGCAACUAAUCUGGCCAGUGUGGUAACAACAUUGUUGGGUUUGAUUCGGGACACUAAUUUACGCUGUGCAGUGGCACAAGCUUUAAUUGUGCUUGUUUUAAGCUCCUCUUUGUGUUCGCUGACGGGGGAGAAGACGAGAAGACAGGGGAGUAGACCAGCCCUACGAGAGGGGGGCGGCACGGAAAAGAAGCGGUGCGCUGCACCUCAACGCUGGGCUAAAUGCCUCCUAAGCUAAGUAUCAGUGGCUUGCUGGAAAGGCAGACUAACUGAGGCUUUAGCCAAAUAGAGGUGCAGCAUGUACAUAAUUUAUUAGAUGCAUUGCACCAGGCCGUACCUACCUGCAUUGAAGGCUGUGUUGUGUUCCAAUUCUUUGCAGAGAGGCCGCGCCAUGAGGGGGAGCUGGAUCAGCUGGGACAGGCUGCAACGCGAGAGGAGGAGCCAUCGAAUACUACAGGAGACACAACAAAGCCAGCCAUGAUAGGGCUGUGAGGAGGAGAAGAAAGUGGAAUUGUGCGGGACUGACACAACAAAGUCAACCACGAUAGGGCUGUGAGGAGGAGAAGAAAGUGGAAUUGUGCGGGACUGAUUUUCUAGACUUCUUGUCAGAGUUGUUUUAGGAAUAAAGAUUCAAUGGAUUGGCAGAACUCUUUGCCUUUUUUUAACUCCUACUGAACGUAAAUGCUCACAGCUUUGCAGAGCAGAAUUAUCCUUCAGAUGUGAUUCCAGUCUCUGCGCAGGAAGAAUUAACAGGAGAUGGAUGGGCAGCUACCCAUCGAUCAGAAUGGAUCAGGAAGAACAAUACUUGACAGGGAUGAUAAAUGUAGAAGGAUCUGUGUGCUCAGAUCUCUGUUCCAACUGCAAAUCUAAAAAUGUGUGUAGCAAGCCAAUAUACCAAAUCUGUCUGUUUAGAAAAGUGCUGCAGCAACAAUAUUUGAAAAGAAAUACUGGCUACUUUACACUAACUGCAAAGAACAUUUUUAUCUGUAUAAAGUACAGAGCACGUAUUGAUUUGAAGGUUGUUUCUGUGUGUUGCUAGAAAUAAAUUAAAUAUAUUUUAUUUCUGUUUAAUUUAGAUAUCUCAAUACAUCUAAAUAAGCAAGUAUGUAUAUCUGAGCAAUGACCAUCAUGUCUUCAGAUAUAUACAAGAGUGCUGAGAUAGUGAGUGUUACUUAUUUUCAAAGAAUGCAAAGUCUGGAGAGCAGCAUUUCUUGACAGCAGUGUGGAGUAGUGGUUAGGGCUCCGGACUCUUGACCUGGAAGGUCGUGGGUUCAAUCCCAGGUGGGGGACACUGCUGCUGUACCCUUGAGCAAGGUACUUUACCUAGAUUGCUCUAGUAAAAACCCAACUGUAUGAAUGGGUAAUUGUUUGUAAAAAUAAUGUGUAAAAAAUAAUGUAAUUGUAUGUAAAAAUAAUGUGAUACCUUGUAACAAUUGGAUAAGGGCGUCUGCUGAGAAAUAAAUAAAUAAUAAUAAUAUUUUACUCAAUUUAAAUCCAUCUCACAUGUCUGGUGGUACCACAAAUAAUAUUAAUUUUACUAGCAGUGCAGAACUCUCCGGGGACAUUUGUUUUUGUUUGACCCCAAUAAAUGGUUUUCUUCCUUUUUUAACUCCCCAACUGCUACUGUUGUAUAUGUUAAUUAAAAAUCCUAGGGUACCACAUCCAUUUUAACCAUCAAUUAUAUAUAUGUAUAUUUUUUUUUAAGUCUGUGAUUGUAACUGAAGUCACGUGUGCUUAUGCUCCUACUUGCUGGUUGGAAU